AGUGAACGCUGGCGGUAGGCCUAACACAUGCAAGUCGAACGGCAGCACAGUAAGAUCUUGCUCUUACGGGUGGCGAGUGGCGGACGGGUGAGGAAUACAUCGGAAUCUACUUUUUCGUGGGGGAUAACGUAGGGAAACUUACGCUAAUACCGCAUACGACCUACGGGUGAAAGCAGGGGAUCUUCGGACCUUGCGCGAUUGAAUGAGCCGAUGUCGGAUUAGCUAGUUGGCGGGGUAAAGGCCCACCAAGGCGACGAUCCGUAGCUGGUCUGAGAGGAUGAUCAGCCACACUGGAACUGAGACACGGUACAGACUCCUACGGGAGGCAGCAGUGGGGAAUAUUGGACAAUGGGCGCAAGCCUGAUCCAGCCAUACCGCGUGGGUGAAGAAGGCCUUCGGGUUGUAAAGCCCUUUUGUUGGGAAAGAAAAGCAGCAGGUUAAUACCCCGCUGUUCUGACGGUACCCAAAGAAUAAGCACCGGCUAACUUCG
Molecule: ribosomal RNA, 490 nt
Filed under: uncultured bacterium
Lineage: Bacteria
Description: partial 16S ribosomal RNA
Rfam family: Bacterial small subunit ribosomal RNA
Source: RNAcentral